UUGCGAGAAACUUCUUACUGAGGGCAUGUGCGCCCUUGAGAUUAGUCGGGAUGCUGUUCCUGAACACCCGGUUCCAAUAAAAUAUAUAUAUAUAUAUAUAUAUAUAUAUAUCAUGUGAGCAAGAUCCUUACCUCUGAAAACAAAGAUAGAGAAAAUGCCCGUUUUGAAGGGAGCAUCGUUUUGGGUUAAAAUGCUCGGUGAUCCUAAACUCUGGUGAUUUAGUUAGGAUACAUUUAGGAUACACCCAAAUUCUGUCAAAACUCCCGUGAAGAGAUCUGAUAUUAAAUUUUGAGUCAUUCAUUUAGGAUACACCCAAAAGAGUUGGUAUUCAUUUUUAUUGUUUUAUUCUAUUUUCGAUAAGUUGAAUACACUCAAGGAAGAUGUGGAGGCUACUGCCGAAUGGGGUACUGUUACUAAGGUUAAAAAGUCAUUUCACCAGAGUUAUCAUCUUUUUAGCGUGUACGAUGACCAAUAUAUUUGGAACA
Juglans microcarpa x Juglans regia is the source of this 485-nucleotide long non-coding RNA. RefSeq lists it as uncharacterized. NCBI's taxonomy places the organism in Eukaryota, Viridiplantae, Streptophyta, Magnoliopsida, Fagales, Juglandaceae. The record is from RefSeq and is a predicted model, not a curated record. The transcript has 2 exons.